AUUGAACGCUGGCGGCAUGCUUUACACAUGCAAGUCGAACGGCAGCGCGGGCUUCGGCCUGGCGGCGAGUGGCGAACGGGUGAGUAAUACAUCGGAACGUGCCCAGUAGUGGGGGAUAGCUCGGCGAAAGCCGGAUUAAUACCGCACACGACCUGAGGGUGAAAGCGGGGGAUCUUCGGACCUCGCGCUAUUGGAGCGGCCGAUGGCAGAUUAGCUAGUUGGUGGGGUAAAGGCCUACCAAGGCGACGAUCUGUAGCAGGUCUGAGAGGACGACCAGCCACACUGGGACUGAGACACGGCCCAGACUCCUACGGGAGGCAGCAGUGGGGAAUUUUGGACAAUGGGCGAAAGCCUGAUCCAGCAAUGCCGCGUGUGUGAUGAAGGCCUUCGGGUUGUAAAGCACUUUUGGCGGGAACGAAAAGGACUGUGCCAAUACCACGGUUCGAUGACGGUACCCGCAGAAUAAGCACCGGCUAACUACGUG
Molecule: ribosomal RNA, 484 nt
Filed under: uncultured bacterium
Lineage: Bacteria
Description: partial 16S ribosomal RNA
Rfam family: Bacterial small subunit ribosomal RNA
Source: RNAcentral